ACGGGCACCCAUUACUUUGGGGGAGUUGGAUGGGGACAGCAAGCUUCAGGGAUGCUUCAGGCUGACCUUCAAAGCGGCUGGAAUUGGUGUUUGGGGACACGGGCAAGAGGUGUGACCCUGACCCCAAAGUACUUAUAGCAGGUGUGGUCCUCAUGGGUGCCCAGUCCCUUGUCUCAGUCUCCUGGCUCUUUCCUGAACCCUCUCUGCUUUCUGCAGACCCAGCAGCUCUCUCAUUGGCACCCAUUACAGCUAUAAUGCAACUCAUGCCCUUCUCUUGAGCUGGCUGUCCAAAAUGAUUCCUCUUUGACUUUUUAAGGAAAUAAAACUCCUAUAUCUAACUGCAACACUUUUUUUGCUCUUAGACAGUUGCUUGUACUUUUGCACUGAAAAAAACAUCAUUUUCCUUUGUCCCCAGCUCUUCAAACUAUCAAAAAACCACUUUUAUUGGUGUUCUUCUAUGCAAUUUACUCUUUUCUGAGCUUUUCCAUCAUUGGCAAAAUUUAUCAGCAACAGUAUUAUAUCUUUUGAAAGGUGUUGACAAAGUGUUAAAUAACGUGGGGCCAAGGACAAGAUCCAAGUGUUGAGAACUGAGGAAUGUCUCUAGAAAUGUUCCUGCUUUGGUGCCAGCUCCUGGUUUGUCCUUAAACUGAGGAAUCAGCUCAUAAAGCUGUUGGUGUCUUGGCAGUGGGAAGAGAGGAGAAAAUGCAACUGCUCUGGUGAAUCUUCAUAACUAGCUGGAGAUUUGGGCCCUUCCUUCCUCCACACCCCCAACACUCAACCUUUGGACAUCCUGGGCUCAAGGCUGGCUGAUGGAUGCUUUGAGUCCAGCAGGACUUAAUCACUACAAGGAUGGAUGGAUGGAUGGAGCCAAGCCUUGCCAUCACUCCUGUGCCAUGACAGUGCUCAUGCAUGAAGCCUGCUGGGCAGCCUGUUUUAUCACUUAGAUGGUCACAGGGUGGCUGAAAAAGCCCACUUUGGUUCUGCAAUUCAGACUAUACCAUAUAUACACAUACCUGACAUAAUGACAGUAUAUAAUAAGGGCCUGCUGAAUGCUGCACCUCGGGGUUGGAAGUUCUGGGGCACAAGCACGUGGGCAGGGGUGGGAAGGACUUGGGGGGGAUGGUUAGAAAAGGACAUGGAGGAAUUUGGAGUAGUGAGGUGAGGUCUGUGGGCAAAACAUCAGAGGUAGGAGCACAGCUGGCAGUCCCAGUGUUCAGGGAGGAGCUGGCUGUCCAGCUUGGCCAGGACCAGGUCAUGCAUACCCUCAGUCUCCACCCGCUUCAUGCUGUCCAGCCAUCCAGGUGAUCCACAUCUACUUAGCUCUGUGGCAUAAACAUGCCUUUGCUGCCUGAUCCUGGCACAAGAUGUUGAGGAAGCGCGAGGGUGGUGGGGAUAAAGCUCUGGGGGUGCUGCAGAGGAAGGCAGACACGCCAGCACAGGGAUGCCUUCACGGAGCACAGAUCCCGGAGCCCACCGCUCCACCUGCACUCCCUGCAAAAGUCAGCCCUUGAGUUUGAAGUACCAGCUUCUAUUUUUGCUGACUUGCCAGGGAAAGGAAGUUUCUGGCUUGACCAGGAGAUGUCUCUAUUAAGCCACGUCGAGCUGAUCGCGGAGGCAAAGCAGGAGGAGAGGGCUGUGCUGGGGAACUCAGACCUGCAAGAGGUGCUGCUGUGGAGGGACCUUCCCCUCGCUCCCACGCUGCCUCAAUUAGCAGCACCUUAUUACAGCCCUCCGGCAGCUAUUUAAGUGCUGUUUCCUCUCGGAACAGCUCAGGUGGAGCUAGUAGACCUCUGCCUGGCUUUCAAGGCAGACUGCAACAGAUCUGGUGUGAAGAGCCUCUUCUCCCUCGUGAGCUCUGCCCAUCACUGCAUCUCCUUCAGCAAGAAGACCAGCGGAAUUUCCUGUGAUCUACAGGAAGGACCAGAGAGAGAGGGACAAAAUACUGCACGAAGAAGCUGUGGCUGCAAUGUUUGCUGCAAGGUUCAUCCCUGCCCAUGGGACUUUAUUUUUGGGACCAAGCCCUGGGCACUGUUGUGCUGCCCCCAGUGCAGGCAGCAGAUGGGCAAUCCUGCCUGACCCAGCUUUUGUGGGGGUGAGAGCAUCACAGAGACCAUGGAAGGAGAUGGAAAGAGCUCUGCAGGAAGCUGAGGACCAAAUUAGCAUUUCCUCACCCAGUUUUUGGGAAGACGGGGGUCAUUUUUUCUCACAGAGGUUGUGGUGGUGCAGUUAUAACUCUCUUGUUUUUUAGCCUUUGGGAAUGGGUUUUGGGUUUGUUUGAGGUGUGGCAAUGUUUUGGCAUGCAAGCCUGCUUGCAGGGCAGUAAAGGACACAACACCCUCUGCCUAAUUUUAGGGGAAAAGGUGAUGAUGGAGACUAAAGAGAGGCCAAUUUUGGCAGCUGAUGGGCAGGAACAUGCCUGUGACUCUAUGUCUUAACUCAGGGAUUUGAGAACUUUAAAGCCCAGUGAGCUACAUCCCUUCCCUACCCAAGACCCUGCAUUCAGGAACAGCCAUCAUUUUGCAUUUUGUCUGCCUUUAAAUCCCAAAAUGUUGCCAGGUAUUUUUAAGUUUAGGCUUAAAAAUGGAAAAAAGAACCAAUGGUUUGCAUUUUUUUGCUUCAGGGGGAUGCUGUUCAGCUUAAUUCCUAGUAAUAGUGAAAUGUUUGAAAGAGCUGUUUUUUCCUACCAAAAGCUUCUCUCUGAUAUUGCUACAUUUUUCAGCCUUAAUCCUGAAUGAUCACCUGAUGGUGACUGCAAAUUAUCCCAGGGUCUGUACCUGCAUUACAUGAGCUUCAACUUCUGACACAAUUUGCAUGUGGAUGUAGCUAACAUCACAUCAAUAAUCUCCCAGCAACUCUUUGGAAAUGAGAGAAUUGAGUUAUUUAAAGCAAUUGAGCCCUUGCUUUGUGCUGUGCAAUGAUACUUCAUAGUUAAGAGCAUUUAAAACUUCGGGGCCAAAUUCUGCAGUUCUCCACUGCCCAGAGCUGCCUUUGAUUCCAGUGAAGGUUUUAUACAAGUGAAAACAUCAUAAUUGAGCCCUUAAUCAGCAUUUCUUUUACUGCUGGGGCUUGAAUACUCUUGUAAAGAGGCUCCAUGUACAAUUGAGGCUAUACUUAUGGCUAAAUGGUGUAGAAAUUAUGAAUAUAGAUUAAAUACUUGAUGUACAAUUUUUGUUGCUGCGCACAGAAAAAUACGGGGUAUUUAGGGCAACAUUUUUAUCCUUUCAUCUUUUCUGGCACGAUUUCUACCUGCUCGUCACUGUGAUUAAAAUUCCAUGGCAGGAAUUAACUGUGCGUGUGACUCGGGGGUGCUGAAGGUUGUUGUCUGGGAGCCAGCAGCUGCUCGCUUUGAUCCAAGCUGCUUUGGGGAGCUUGAUGUAGAGAGCAGGGCGAGGAAGAGGAGGAGGAGGAGAAAGACUCAUUGGAAAGGAAAAAGAGGGUGCAACAACAAGAGGCAGUGAGGCUGGAAGGUUUCUUUUCAUAUCAUUGGAUUUUUUUUUUUGGGAUAUUGCUUUGAGGACAUGCAUGUCUUGACACAAAAACUAACGGGGAAAUGCAGGCUGGCAGUGUCUGGGGAGUCUGAUGUGCAGCACAGAAAUGGCAAACACGGGCUGGGUGUUUUGGGAAGGGGGUGAUUG
Molecule: long non-coding RNA, 3635 nt
Organism: Passer domesticus (house sparrow)
Lineage: Eukaryota; Metazoa; Chordata; Aves; Passeriformes; Passeridae
Exons: 4
Source: RefSeq, a predicted model, not a curated record